This 573-nucleotide ribosomal RNA is filed under the name Acarospora fuscata. RNAcentral's name for it is "SSU rRNA". It matches the Rfam family "Bacterial small subunit ribosomal RNA", at positions 416 to 1073 of the family's 1533-position model. Lineage: Eukaryota; Fungi; Ascomycota; Lecanoromycetes; Acarosporales; Acarosporaceae. The record is from RNAcentral.
ACUACGUCGACUAAAGUUCUAGGUAGAAUAAUGAUGAUGACAAUUUUUUACCUAUAUGUCUUGACCAAGUCUCGUGCCAGCAGUCGCGGUAAUACGUGGAAGACUAGUGUUAUUCAUCUUUAUUAGGUUUAAAGGGUACCUAGACGGUAUUUCUAGCCCAAAAUAGGGUACGGAUUUACUAGAGUUUUAUGUGAGGAGGGGAGUACUCGUAGAGUAGAGAUGAAAUUUUGUUAUACUAUGAGGUAACUGGUGGCGGCGAAAGCAACCUUCUAUGUAUAAACUGACGUUGAGGGACGAAGGCUUGGGUAGCAAAUAGGAUUAGAUACCCUAGUAGUCCAAGCAGACAAUUCUGAAUGCCAUAGAUUAGAUUAUUUUUGGUCUAUAAAUGAAAGUGUAAGCAUUCCACCUUAGGAGUAAUGUGGCAACACAGGAACUGAAAUCAUUAGACCGUUUCUGAAACCAGUAGUGAAGUAUGUUAUUUAAAUUGAUGGUCCACAAAAAACCUUACCACAACUUGAAUAUUUUCAAUUAAUACAAGCGUUGCACGGCUGUCUUCAGUUAAUGUCGUGAGAU